This 10363-nucleotide long non-coding RNA is filed under the name Olea europaea subsp. europaea. The record is from RNAcentral. Lineage: Eukaryota; Viridiplantae; Streptophyta; Magnoliopsida; Lamiales; Oleaceae.
CAAAAGGUUGCUCCCACUCACUUUAAAGAGACGUUUACAGAGGAUUCCCAAAGGAAUAAAAGUUCAACUUUGUGUGAGGCCAAAGGUAUAGUUAAGCAACCCCAUUAUCUCAAAAGGUUGGAGGUUCAUAGGUACUAAGGUCCCAAUCUCCAAUUCUCAAAAUGGACCCCGCGAAGGGAAAGAAAAAGGCACCCGAGGAAUCUGAUCAUGUUCCUAAUUCCAUGGCUUUGUUUGACGUCUGCCAUGACGAGGAGCUAGAUCCCAACAUUUUGUCCUCACUUACUGCCUUUGUUUCUAAAGCAACUAGAUCUACAUUUUUAUAAUUUAACUCCGAACGAGACUCUCCCAAGCAAAGAUGAAGCCUAAUUGAUGCUCACCUCUUACUAGCUAGCCAAUGUCCUUCAUCAUGAUUAGCAAGCGAAAUAUGAGGUUUACUUGCUGUGAACCAAUAAGAUAGAGAAAAGGGCAGACUUCCUAGAGAAGAAGCAUGUGGCCUUUCAACGAAAAUUGAGAGGAGUUGAAAAUGACAUGAAAAAAAUAUAAGGAGCUGAGCAAAGAUUCCGAGGCACUGGCUGCCACGGAAGCCCUCUUAGUGGCUGAUCUUACCAGGCUCACUAAGGAUUUGGAAUGGAUCAAGAAAAUCUUUCUACUUAUGUUGUUAGAUUCGGUGGUGAGCUUCUUCGUCUCAGAAAGAGCUUCAGUUUGUUAGGAAUAAGCAGUUUGCUUUUUCUAAAGACUUGGAAAUGAAGAGCAAGAAGGGCUUGCUUCUUAACCAGCUGGAGAAUGCUGAUAAAAAGCUGUCUCUUGCGGAGUCUGAUCUCUUGCUAAUGAGUUGAGGCUUGUAGAUGAGUCCAUGGAGGAUGGAGGCUAUAAGGUUCUUGAUAUUAUUAGGGAUUUUCAUCUUUGAGUGGGACCUGAGUUUUUUAGAGGAUCAUGAAGAGGGUGCCAAAUAUACCUCUGUGGGCGAAGAUGCUUUGACGGCCGUCCAAACUUCCAGUUAUCCGUCUGCUUCUAUUGAACGUGCCUCUAUUCCUCCUAGCGAAGGUACUGCUAUGCCAAUAUGAUCUCGCCUUUUGAUACUAUUAAAGUUCAUACUCCCUCUAAAGCGAGUGUGCCUUUUGAUGGUAACACUUCGCUUGGCCAAGAUGAUCUCGCCUUUGGGAAUUUCCAACCUUUUAUGAAUUUAAAGGGAUGGCUAAUUUUUUAUGCUCUUGUUUCUCACUUUUAUUGUAUUGACGAUAUUCCAUUCUAAUUUAUAGGAAAAUACCAUUUUAGCAAAAUUCAUUAUAUAAAUAUCAUUGUUUGCAUUGUACGAAUUAAUUUAUUUUGGCCAUUUUCUCUGUGAUUGCGUUGUCCUGCUGGUUUUAUGAUUUCAUUACGCUUUGCAUGAAAUAUUGUAUAUCUAGUUGAGGAUUUUUAUUGCGCUUUGCACAAGUACGUCUACAGUAUUUGCAUAUUAAGCAUGGAACUUAUCGAUCCCUUAUCGUUUUUCAUUGUGACAAUGAAAUUUUCCAUAUAUAGAAUUUUGUUAAAAUCAUUGUUACAACAUAAUGAAGUGUGGACUACAAUCAUUUCCCUUAUCAUAAGUACUUUGCGCAUAAUUACAGUAUGUCAUGACAUUUGAGUUUGUCUGGGUGUGGCCUUGUCCUUUGACAAUAAUUUCCUUUCGGUUUGAAAUUAAUUUCCAUUUACAAUUGAAAUUUCUUUAGAAGGAUAGACUUCGCAUUUGACUGAAAUUUUUUGGUAGAUUGAAGCUCGCCUUCGGUUUUCGUAUCUAUCUUUCAUAAAAUUUAGUAUUGAUUUGUAUAUCGAGACCUAUACUUGUGAAGUUAUCUUUACUAACAGGCAGGUGAUUUGACCGCCAUUCCCAGUCUCAGAUACUUGCUUUCCUAGAAAAGAAUUUUCAAGCAUGUUUUUGUUUCUUUCUGUUGGGCUGUGAUGCCAUUUGAUCCAGUCCAACUAUUAGGCAAUGAUGAAAAGGCUCAAAAAAAUAUGAAUUCAAUACUUGGUCCAUUAAUUAGAUACCUAGAAGGCCCACUUAACCGAGCCCAAUACCCAGCCCACACAUCUUAGUCGCUCUUGGACCGUUGGAUUGACCCGCUAAUCAACGGUUGAUGAUAUUAUCUAUAAAUAAUAUCCUUAGCUCCUGUUUGGCAGGUGGAUCGUCAUUCUGUUCUCUGAUUUUCCUCUCUGCCUUCUGGAACCUUCGUGUUCUUCGUCUUUGUGACCCUUCCUUCUUCUCUUUGUGAGAGUUCUGGUUGAUUAUCUUUGUGAUAAUUGUAUUCUUGUGUGAUUCUCCUUUGUGUGAGUAAUCUGUUGAAGGUAGGCAGUCCUUGUUUUGGUUUCCAGUGAAGCGACCUUGAUGUGUUGGGGUUGUGAGGAUUCGUGUUUGAGUCUCGGUGCCUCUGUGAUGGUGAAAGGGGCGUGGUCUGAGCCUACAAUUGAAAGAUCUAAACCUUGAUAUAGUGGUUUAGGAUUUAUAUUGUAAUCUGCAUUUUCAUGGUUAGGUUGACUAUUUUCGGAUCCUGUUUUUAAUAGUGGUAUCAGAGUUUUCUGCGUUCGUUCUUGAGUCUUCGAUUGAAGGUUGAACACUGGAAAAUUAAUUUCCAGGUGUUUGACUGUAGAUCGCGAAACCCUAAUUUUUUUAUUUGAGUCGACCUAGUGGUCUGAGGAGUUGAUUCCAACCUGGACUGUGGAAUGCGAGGGAUUUUCUGUGAGUCCUCGCUGUGAUCUGUAAAAGAACCAUAAAACCGAGAUCCUGUGGGUUCGUUUUGUGCUGGAACCCUAAUUUUUUGGAGCUGCAAGGCCUCGAAACUGGAAGAACUUGAAUCUGUAAGGGCAUGAUUUGUGCCUUGGUGACCUGCAGUGAAUUCAUCCUUGCUGCAAUAAUUUGUUCCUGAUUUCAGCUGGUGGUUAAUUGCUUAACCACCCUCGGUUUGCACUUCUUGAACCCUACAUGACUGCACACUCACUAAACACUGCUUUUAUGUAUUUAUGCCUCUAUGUUGAUAUGUUCAAUUACUGUAUAUUGUAACCUGUUACAUUAGUUUAUGAUAUUUUGUUAUAUUUGCCUGUGAUCAAUUAAGUUUGGAUGAUUCAAAUUGAGCCUUGACCUGAGAACUUGAUUCUCACGGAAUCCUGGUGAACUUGAUCAACCCUAGGUCCUGCAGAUAUUGAUUCUUUAAUCCUGAGAUAGAGUUCUUGCCUGCAUUGUUGUAUUUUUCUGAUUCUUGUGGUGUUUACAUUAGAAUAUCUAAUGAUCCUGCUAUUGAUUGAAACUAUUUGUGAAUAAAAUAAUUGUGGCUCAUUUAUUUGACUGCAUAUUACUUUAUGUGAUCUAAAACAUAAAUUUUUUGCGAAGGUCAAAUUCAACAGUUUUUUCAAAAGUUGAUCUUCUGUUCUGUUAUAAUUUGUGAAAAAUACUGUGUUAGUUUUUCACAAUAAAACAUGACAAAAUUUUUUGAACUUGGUGUUUUUGAUGGAAAAGGGGAUUUUCCCAUUUGGCAACAAAAAAUGCGAGGAGUUUUAGUUCAGCAAAAAGUUUUUAAAGCAAUAACAGAUGAAUUUCCUGAUACCAUGACAGAUGAUCAAAAGGAAGAAUCUGAUGAACUUGCUUAUACCUCCAUUAUUUUGCAUUUAUCUGAUCAAGUUUUAAGAAAAGUAGGCAAACAUGAAACUGCUAAGGCCUUAUGGGAUGAAUUAGAGAAGCUUUACCUACCUAAAUCUUUGCCUAAUAAGUUGUUUCUAUUAGAAAAAUUUUUUAGUUUUAGGAUAGAUCCAACUAGAGACUUAGAAGACAGCUUAGACAUUUUUAAUAAGUUAGUUCAAGACAUUAUUAAUACAGGUGAGAAAGUUUCUGAUGAGUAUAAGGCUGUAGUACUACUUAAUGCUAUACCUGAAGCCUACAAAGAGGUUAAAGCCGUCAUUAAGUAUGGUAGAGAUACUCUUACACCUGAUAUUGUCAUAGACUCUUUAAGGAGUAAGGAACUUGAACUUAAGUCUGAGAGAGGUAAUAGUGGCCAUGAAAACUUGUUUGCUAGAGGGAGGACUUUAAGUAGGUCUAGUGGUACUCAGGAAAGCCAUAAUAAUCAGGGAAAUAACAGUAGGAGAAAGUUUAAAAGUAGAGGCAGGUCUAAGUCAAGGACUAGGACUAAAAAGUGUUAUGGGUGUGGAAAAUCUGGACAUUUUAUUAAAAACUGUUAUAAGAAGAAAAAUGAACAGAAACAAAAGGGUGUUGAUGAAGGUAAUGUGGUAGAAUCUGAAGGUUCUGCCACAGUUGAUGUAUAUGCUGUGACUGAAAAUUUACCUAGUUCUGCAAAUGUUGUUGAUGAGAAUCAGAACCAAGAAUGGAUCUUGGAUUCUGGUUGUACCUUCCAUAUGACCUUUAAAAGGGCAUAUUUAGACAAUUUUAAGAAAAUUGAUGGAGGAGAAGUAGUUAUGGGCAAUAAUGUAGCCUGCAGAGUUGAGGGAGUUGGGAAUGUCACUUUGAAAUUUGAUAAUAGAUACAUUUACACUCUUGAAAGGGUGAGAUAUGUUCCUGAAUUGAAUAGGAAUCUGAUUUCCAUGGGAAAUCUAGAUGAUAUGGGAUUGCAAGGAAAAAUAGGAGAUGGCUUCUUGAAAGUGAUAAAAGGAUCACUUGUUAUUUUUAAAGGUGUUAAAAGAAAUGGGAUUUAUGUGAUCAAAGCUAGUACAGUGUUUGAUCACAUAGGUGAGUCUUCUAAUGUAGAAAUUGAUGCUACCUUAAAGUGGCACAAGAGAUCGGCCCAUAUAGGUGAAAAGGGCCUACACAUCCUUUAUAAGAAAUGUGUGUUUGGGAAGGACUCUAUAUCUAAGGUGUCUUUUUGUGAAAACUGCACCUUAGGAAAACAGCAUAGGCUGCAUUUUAACACAGGAAAACAUAGAACCACCUCUAUCCUUGAGUAUAUACAUGCUGAUUUAUGGGGGCCUUCAUCCACUGUCACUCAAGGAGGAAAUAGAUAUUUCUUGUCCUUGAUUGAUGACUAUUCUAGGAAGGUUUGGGUUUAUUUGUUGAAACACAAAUCUGAAACAUUUGAUAAAUUCAGAGUUUGGAAGAUUCUGGUGGAAAAUGAGAUUGGGAAGAAAAUUAAGAUCCUUAGGACGAAUAAUGGCCUAGAGUUUUCAAUGCUGAAUUUGAUCAGUUGUGCAAAGAAUCUGGUAUUAAAAGGCAUAAAACUGUACCUUAUACAGCUCAGCAGAAUGGAGUGGCUGAGAGGAUAAAUAGAACCUUGCUAGAUAAGGUUAGGUGCAUGUUGAUAGGCUCAGGUGUCCCUAAGGUGUUAUGGGGUGAAGCUGUAAUGACAGCUUCAUAUAUUGUUAAUAGGACCCCCUCAAGUGCUCUAGGAGAUAAAACCCCUGAAGAGCUAUGGACAGGACAUGUUCCUGAUUAUUCACAUUUAAGAAUCUUUGGUUGUGCCACCUAUUCCCAUCAAAGUAUAGGAAAACUUGAACCUAGAGCCCAGAAAUGUGUUUUCUUGGGAUAUCCCGAUGGGGUUAAAGGUUAUAGGCUAUGGAGUAAAGAAGUAAAAGGUUUUAGAAUCAUCACCAGCAGAGAUGUUACCUUUGAUGAGUCAAAAAUGCCUUGCUUAGAAAAUAAAGAACCAAAAGGGCUACCUGGUGAUGAAAGAGGUGAUAAUACCAAGCUGCAGGUGGAGCUUGGCUUAGCUACUGAACCUGUUAGUGAUGAACAGGUAGAUGAAGAAGCUGAAACAGCUUCUGAUCCUCAAGAAAAUGAAGAGAAAAAUGUUUAAGAAAAUCUGGAAAGUCGGCCUCAUGAAUUGGGAGAUUACCAAUUAACUAGAGAUAGGACUAGGAGAGAAGUAAGAGAGCCUGUUAGGUAUGGAGAUUACCUUUCACUUGCUGUUUUGUCCUAUCAUGACUUAGUGUUUAAAGAACCAAAAUCUUAUGAAGAGGCAAUGAGCUGCAAGCAGUCUGAGAACUGGCAUGCUGCUAUGAUAGAUGAGAUAGACUCCUCAAUGAAAAAAGAGACUUGGACUUUAGUUCCAAAACCUGCAGGUAAGACCCUUGUUGAUUGCAAGUGGAUCUUUAGUGUUAAGGAGGGAAAUACUAAAAAGAUGUCCAUAAGAUUUAAGGGUAGACUUGUAGCGAAAGGACUUACGCAAAAAGAGGGCAUAGAUUAUAAUGAGAUAUUUUCACCUGUGAUAAAGUACACAAUAAUUAGAGUUAUGCUUGCCCUUGUUGCUCAUUAUGAUCUUGAACUUGAACAAAUGGAUGUGAAAACUGCUUUCUUGCAUGGUGACCUUGAUGAAGUGAUUUAUAUGAGACAGCCACCUGGUUUUAUUGAUGAAACUAAAUCUGAUCAUGUGUGUCUGUUAAAAAGAUCAUAAUAUGGUUUAAAACAAUCUCCACGACAAUGAUACAAAAGGUUUGAUAAUUUUGUAUCUACUAUUGGUUUCAUAAGAAGUGAAUAUGACCAUUGUCUUUACUUUAAAAGAAAUGAUGAAAAUGCUAUUGCUGCAUUUAUACUUCUUUAUGUGGAUGAUAUGUUGCUGAUUGGUCAGAAUAUGAAUGUUAUUAAUUAGAUAAAACGGUCUUUAAGUGCUGAAUUUGAAAUGAAAGACCUAGGACAUGCAAAGAGAAUCUUAGGUAUGGAAAUCACUAGGAAAAGGCACCAUAGGUUACUGUACUUGAAGCAAACUGCAUAUAUUGAAAAAAUGUUGACUAAGUUUGCCAUGUAUAACUCUAAAUCUGUUUCACUUUCAUUGGCCAGCCAUUUUAAACUUAGUAAAGAGCAAUGUCCUGUAAAUGAAUCUGACAUUAGGCAAAUGGAAAAUGUACCCUAUGCUAAUGCCGUAGGUUCUGUCAUGUACACUAUGGUAUGUACUAGGCCUGAUGUAGUUCAUUCCAUUAGCUCACUUAGUAGAUUUAUGGCCAAUCCAGGACCAGACCAUUGGGUUGCUCUAAAAUGGCUGUUGAGGUACUUGAAAGGAUCUUCACAUGUUGGUUUAAUCUUUAGUGCUUGUAAUGAAGGUGUUGUACUUAAGGGUUUUGUAGAUUCAAAUUUUGCCGGAGAUAGAGACAAUAGGAAAUCUACUACUUCUUAUAUGUUUACUUUGUGUAAUACAUGUAUUAGUUGGAAAUCUCAACUUCAACCUAUUGUUGCUUUAUCUACUACUGAAGCUGAGUAUGUUGCUGCAACUGAAGCAAUAAAAGAAGCAUUAUGGCCCAAGGGCUUAUUAUCUAAAAUAAAUGAAUUGAGUAACCUUGUUGUCUUGUAUUCUGAUAGUCAAAGUGCAAUUCACCUAUGUAAAAACCCUGAUUUUCAUGAAAGAACAAAACAUAUUGAUGUUAAGUUGCAUUUUAUUAGAGAUGUUGUUUCUAAAGAACUUAUUUUACUUGAGAAAAUUGCAACUCAGUUUAAUCCAACUAGUGUAGGUACUAAGGUAAUACCUUUAAACAAGUUUAAGUCUUGUUUACAAAUUUUGAACAUUGAUGCUGGUUAAGUGUUUUGUUUUGUACAGGUGCUAAGGUUGAUGCUUGUUGAGAAUGCUGGGAAGCUGUCUUCUUGAGAAGGAUAUUUAAAUUGUGUUUUACAUUUAUUAGGCUUCUUGUAUGAUCACUGGCAUCAAGGUGGAGAUCUGUUGGGCUGUGAUGCCAUUUGAUCCAGUCCAACUAUUAGGCAAUGAUGAAAAGGCCCAAAAAAUAUGGAUUCAAUACUUGGUCCAUUAAUUAGAUACCUAGAAGGCCCACUUAACCGAGCCCAAUACUCAGCCCACACAUCUUAGUCGCUCUUGGACCGUUGGAUUGACCCAUUGAUCAACGGUUGAUGAUAUUAUCUAUAAAUAAUAUCCUUAGCUCCUGUUUGGCAGGUGGAUCGUCAUUCUGUUCUCUGAUUUUUCUCUCUGCCUUCUGGAACCUUCGUGUUCUUCGUCUUUGUGACCCUUCCUUCUUCUCUUUGCGAGAGUUCUGGUUGAUUAUCUUUGUGAUAAUUGUAUUCUUGUGUGAUUCUCCUUUGUGUGAGUAAUCUGUUGAAGGUAGGCAGUCCUUGUUUUGGUUUCCAGUGAAGCGACCUUGAUGUGUUGGGGUUGUGAGGGUUCGUGUUUGAGUCUCGGUGCCUCUGUGAUGGUGAAAGGGGCGUGGUCUGAGCCUACAAUUGAAAGAUCUAAACCUUGAUGUAGUGGUUUAGGAUUUAUAUUGUAAUCUGCAUUUUCAUGGUUAGGUUGACUAUUUUCGGAUCCUGUUUUUAAUACUUUCUACCAUGAAUACGGUGUUACCCUUCGAGGGUUCUAGGCUGCUUUCUGUAAAAAGUUGAAAUAACAUUCUCACGCAGCAGAUUGGUUUCCCUUUAUACAGGCUAUGCCUUGGGGUGUUUCAAAAUUAUGGCACAAGUGGUAGAUUGAAGUCACAACUUUCAGUUUCUUUAAAGCUGGUCUUCCCAAGAUCCCGCUGUAAGCAGAUUUACUAUUAAUUAUUAAGAAAUCCGUGUGCCUUUGAAAUAUGAUGGGCUCUUCACUGAGCUCAACCACUAAUAUGAUUUGUCUUUUUUUGGGCUCAAGCUGUCCACAGUAAAACCGUAUAUAGGUUCAGCCAUUGGCAAAGGGAUGAUUAACUUGCAUUUGGUCAAAAUCACUUCCAAAUAGAAUAUUGAUGGAACUGUCAUUAUCUACCAUCAUGUGGCUUAGGCCGUUAUGGGCUAUAAUAGCUCGAGCUACCAAGGCAUCGAUUGUUAAAGGUAAUUGGAAGAUAUGAAUCUUCUAGUGGUGUUGGUAUAUCUGUUUCGUUCACUUAACGUGCUUCCACCAAUGUGAAAGCCUCUAAUUAUAUUAUCAAUUUUUUUGAUCGGAAGGAGCAAAUUAGGAGCAUUGACCUUUUAUUCGCCCUACUGUGUUCAGCUUAUGAGGCCUCGCGCUCUCAACAGAUGAGAUGUUUUUCCAUUCGAUCAUUCUCUAUGAACAUCCAACUGACUUCGUAGUUUCAUCAUUUUCAAUACUUCAUAACAUGGACUCAUCCAUGUUAUAAUCCCUGGAGAGAUGUAUACUGCAAAAUUUUGCUUUCUAGUCCUUAGGAGAGAUACAAUCUUCGUUCGCGGCAGAUGUGAGACCCAGUGAUAUUGUGUGGACCCUAUCCUUAGAUUCCAUGAAAUGCAAAUAUUGUUGCUUUGUUAAAUUUAAAGUAUAUAUGGUGGUCUUAUCUUUAAUUUUCUCAAUUCGCACUUUUUCUAUCUUCUUCUGGUUGGCGUAGUGUCUUCUGUCUGAAUUUCAUUUUGGAUUAGAUUCACCAAUUAGCAGUAAGUAAUAGGAUUUUGGUUGCGGACAACAUGCCAGAAGAGAGUUUCCAUAAGCAGACAAUUCCAUAAAGCAUCUUUGGUCUUCUUAUCAUAAAAUAGUUUCGUAAGCUAUCAAUUCGACGCUAAAUCAUGCAAAAUACCUUUUCAGAGAUUUUCUUUCCUCCUCCUACAUAUCAUUUAACCGCAUGGUUGGGGUUUGUCCCAAUCUGUUUCUGGCAAAUGUCCCCGGGAAAGCUUGUUUUAAUUAAGGCCAGCUCCUGAUAAGUCCUAAUGGUAAGUUGCUAUGCUAUGUUUUAGCUGAUCCAUGAAGGGUUAAGUGGAAUCUCUGGCACUUUAAUGCAGGGCUUGCUUUUUUCGACUUCAUUUGUACUUCAUUUGUGUCAUGUAUUUAGCCAAAUGAUACAUGGGAUCAUCUUUCCCAUUGUAUUUGUCCAUUACUAGAGAAUGGUACACGUUCGUUGUCAUCGUCCAUUUCAAAUGGUCUAGUUGAAAGAUCUUCAUAAAUUUUAGCGGGAGAGUGUGAUAUGAUGAAACUUCAUAGUUCUUAGCUUUCCGCUCUCCUUGGUGAUAGUUUUGGGUUAAUCUUCUGUCGUGAAAAUACAGUUCAUCGAUAGCCUUUCCUAUUGUGUUUUUGCCUUCAUAGCGCUCUUUUCUUCCAUUCUCCAUAUUGUCAUUGGUCUUUGAGAUCUAGGAAUGUAGUUCUUCUCAUGAGAAGAACUGACGAUGUGUUUUUCUUCGUUUGCUCUUAAUUCUCCUGCCACUCAUGUGUUGGAUUUUCAGCUUUUGCACGCAAUGGUGCGUUUUUGGUGGCUAACAUCUUCGGGCUCUUUGCCAUUUCUUGUUUUAUUUUGGCAACAGAGGCCUUCAUUUUCAAGCGGCAAUGUUGAGCUAGAAAAAAUACUAGCUGUCAGUUUGUGUGGUGUUUCCUCCGGUUGUCGUUUUGGAUUGGCAUUAUUGUUUAAGAGCUUGUCACUGCUAUAUUUCUUGAUUAGCUUUAUGUGAUGACUUCUCCUUUGGAUUUCCUUCCAGAAGAUUAUUUUCUUCCAUAUCCUAAAUUUGUUUAGUUAAUGAAAUUUAUGGUUUACUUCGUUCUAGAUU